RNAcentral lists this ribosomal RNA (253 nucleotides) under uncultured bacterium. RNAcentral's name for it is "partial 16S ribosomal RNA". It matches the Rfam family "Bacterial small subunit ribosomal RNA", at positions 524 to 776 of the family's 1533-position model. The record is from RNAcentral.
UACGUAGGUGGCAAGCGUUGUCCGGAAUUAUUGGGCGUAAAGCGCGCGCAGGCGGUCCUUUAAGUCUGAUGUGAAAGCCCACGGCUCAACCGUGGAGGGUCAUUGGAAACUGGGGGACUUGAGUGCAGGAGAGAAGAGUGGAAUUCCACGUGUAGCGGUGAAAUGCGUAGAGAUGUGGAGGAACACCAGUGGCAAAGGCGACGCGUGGGCCUGUAACUGACGCUGAGGCGCGAAAGCGUGGGGAGCAAACAGG